Microtus ochrogaster (prairie vole) is the source of this 510-nucleotide long non-coding RNA. RefSeq lists it as uncharacterized. The record is from RefSeq and is a predicted model, not a curated record. NCBI's taxonomy places the organism in Eukaryota, Metazoa, Chordata, Mammalia, Rodentia, Cricetidae. The transcript has 2 exons.
ACGCGGGAGGCCUUCUGGGAAACUGAGUGACAGGAGUUGUAGCGAAUACUGUGCGGUCUUCCUCAGACCGCAGAGGAGCCCCGAGGGACCCGGCACGUUCAGGAUUCUCCCCACCCCCCUUCAUUCCCCCCACGAAUGAGGCAGGGUCGGUAUAAUGACUCCAUUAAUCGGAGGUCAUUAGUAGGGUUUGCACACUGGCACUCCAUUUACAUACACUGCCCUUGGUCUGUGCCCUUCAGUGUAGGUGGCGGUGUGAUGCGAUUAAUUAUGCACAAAUCGCGAUUUCUGGUGUCACAUUCCAGCGCUUAGAGCUCUGGGGAAGCUCUUUGUCAGGACACCGUAUGUUAGCACCCGUGCCAGCCUCAUUAUCCCAACAGAAAGGCCCUGGGCUGGAUGAUAAUGCGCGCUCUGCAGCUUCGCUCCACACUCUGGCAGCUACAACGCAUGAGCGCCUUCUCCCAAGACCAUUCUUGUACCCUGAUAUAGUAAAAUUGCUAAAUAUGGUGAAAG